This 203-nucleotide long non-coding RNA is filed under the name Physcomitrium patens. Its description in RNAcentral is "long non-coding RNA (PPAT_LNC005361)". Lineage: Eukaryota; Viridiplantae; Streptophyta; Bryopsida; Funariales; Funariaceae. The record is from RNAcentral.
UGAGUGAUUUAGUUCUUAAAAGUGGUUAAUUACAAAAUUAUAGUUAGAAUCUUGAGAAUCAGGGGAAAGUAUAUAGGAGUUGUAGAAGAUAAUUAAGGUACCAGACUGUGAUAGUCAUGAGCCGAGGGCCAUCGUUGUGAUAGUUGUGAGCCGGGAUAAGCUUGGUGCUACCUCUUUUCUUUUGUUUGUUAUUUUCUUUGAAU